Molecule: ribosomal RNA, 497 nt
Filed under: uncultured bacterium
Lineage: Bacteria
Description: partial 16S ribosomal RNA
Rfam family: Bacterial small subunit ribosomal RNA
Source: RNAcentral
GAUGAACGCUGGCGGCGUGCCUAAUACAUGCAAGUCGAGCGAACGGACGAGAAGCUUGCUUCUCUGAUGUUAGCGGCGGACGGGUGAGUAACACGUGGAUAACCUACCUAUAAGACUGGGAUAACUUCGGGAAACCGUAGCUAAUACCGGAUAAUAUUUUGAACCGCAUGGUUCAAAAGUGAAAGACGGUCUUGCUGUCACUUAUAGAUGGAUCCGCGCUGCAUUAGCUAGUUGGUAAGGUAACGGCUUACCAAGGCAACGAUGCAUAGCCGACCUGAGAGGGUGAUCGGCCACACUGGAACUGAGACACGGUCCAGACUACUACGGGAGGCAGCAGUAGGGAAUCUGCCGCAAUGGGCGAAAGCCUGACGGAGCAACGCCGCGUGAGUGAUGAAGGUCUUCGGAUCGUAAAACUCUGUUAUUAGGGAAGAACAUAUGUGUAAGUAACUGUGCACAUCUUGACGGUACCUAAUCAGAAAGCCACGGCUAACUACGUG